GGAAUAUUGGGCAAUGGGCGCAAGCCUGACCCAGCGACGCCGCGUGAGGGAUGAAGGUCUUCGGAUUGUAAACCUCUUUCAGUAGGGAAGAAGCGAAAGUGACGGUACCUAAAGAAGAAGCACCGGCUAACUAUGUGCCAGCAGCCGCGGUAAUACAUAGGGUGCAAGCGUUGUCCGGAAUUAUUGGGCGUAAAGAGCUCGUAGGUCGUUUGUCGCGUCGAUUGUGAAAAUCUGAGGCUCAACCUCAGACCUGCAGUCGAUACGGGCAAACUAGAGUGUGGUAGGGGAGACUGGAAUUCCUGGUGUAGCGGUGGAAUGCGCAGAUAUCAGGAGGAACACCAAUGGCGAAGGCAGGUCUCUGGGCCAUAACUGACACUGAGGAGCGAAAGUGCGGGGAGCGAACAGGAUUAGAUACCCUGGUAGUCCGCACCGUAAACGGUGGGCACUAGUUGUGGGAACCUUCCACGGUUUCCGCGACGCAGCAAACGCAUUAAGUGCCCCGCCUGGGGAGUACGAUCGCAAGAUUAAAACUCAAAGGAAUUGACGG
RNAcentral lists this ribosomal RNA (547 nucleotides) under uncultured bacterium. RNAcentral describes it as "bacterial SSU rRNA". It matches the Rfam family "Bacterial small subunit ribosomal RNA", at positions 358 to 916 of the family's 1533-position model. The record is from RNAcentral.